This 315-nucleotide ribosomal RNA is filed under the name Triticum aestivum (bread wheat). RNAcentral's name for it is "partial small subunit ribosomal RNA". The record is from RNAcentral. Lineage: Eukaryota; Viridiplantae; Streptophyta; Magnoliopsida; Poales; Poaceae.
AUGGUUCUGGAGGACGAGAGCAGCGACGACAACUCAAGCCUCCCGUACAUGCACUCCGAAACCUCCACCGAUGGGCUGAACCAGGAAGGUCAGAAUUGUGGGUUUGUUCAGUGGGUUGAUGAGCAGUGGCCCCCAACAAUGGAGAAUGCAUUGCUGAAGCUUUGGCCAAUGGUUGAAGAGAGCAAGUCUGCUAGGGUGAAUGAUAAUCUUCAAAGUGCUCUAACUAUUCAUCAGUUGACAGAAGAAAAGAACAAGCUGGAUGCAGACUAUGACAAGUUAGUGAAAGAUGUGCAUCAACUUGUGGACUUUCAGUAG